GGAGGAACCCCUACGACUACGAGCCAACAUAUACACCCGACGCGAUCCAACAUCAAUAAGUGAAGACCCCUACGCAGCCAUGUUCAUGUUUUUCUACGGCGUGGCUGUCAAAAUAGACUCGUAAGAAGAAAAGCUUACUUCUUCACUUCAUUUCUCUCUCCGUCACCAUAUGGAGGCUCUCCGUCUAACGCCGUCCCAGGCGCCCCCCCUCCGCCCUAACCGCCGCUCCAAAUUGACUCGACGCACCUUCCCUGGAUCCCACAAGAAUCCCAUCAAGCCGUUUAUCAAUGCCACCCUCUCUAAACCGGCGGCGGAGGUCCCUCCGUUGCCUACGCCAUCGCCUGCAUGUACGUCACCGACCUCUUCCUCCACAAGCACUGUUUCGAAUACUCCAAAGAGGGUUUCUCCCAAUUCUCUCCAGUACCCGCCCGGUUACGUAGGAGCCGUACCUGACCGUACGGUUCAUGACAGGACUAGUGACAUUAUAAACGCCAUGGGUUACUUGACGAAUAUAUUGUCUUCUAAGGUUUAUGACGUUGCGAUUGAAUCUCCCAUGCAGUUCGCUUCUAAGCUGUCGGACAGAUUGGGUGUCAAGUUUUGGCUCAAGCGAGAGGACUUGCAGCCGGUUUUCUCAUUUAAGCUGCGGGGAGCUUAUAAUAUGAUGGCAAAAAUUCCAAAGGAACAGUUGGAAAGAGGGGUUAUCUGCUCAUCAGCUGGGAACCAUGCCCAAGGUGUUGCAUUAGCUGCCAAGAAACUAGGCUGUAAUGCGGUGAUUGCUAUGCCUGUAACUACUCCAGAAAUCAAGGUACAUGCUGUUCAAUUUUACUUUUAUGAUUCAAUCAUGAGUAAUGAUUUGUUAGUUGAAUGAUAGAUUUGUUUCUUCUACAGUGGCAAUCUGUUGAGAGAUUGGGAGCAACUGUUGUUCUAGUGGGGGAUUCUUAUGAUGAGGCACAGGCAUAUGCUAAAAAAAGGGCCAAAGAGGAUGGUCGAACAUUCAUACCUCCUUUUGAUCACCCAGAUAUUAUUAUGGGGCAAGGAACAGUUGGGAUGGAAAUUGUGCGUCAAAUGCAAGUCCCAAUGCAUGCAAUCUUUGUGCCUGUAGGGGGUGGUGGGCUAAUAGCUGGUAUUGCUGCCUAUGUAAAGAGGGUUAAUCCCGAGGUGUGUUGGUUGUCACGCUAGAAGUUUCAUUUACUCUGUUACCUCUAAACUAUUCAAGAUAUAUACUUUAGUGUGAAUUAUGUUGGUAUUGCUACUAUUUUCUACAUAUUAAUUUUGGGUGAAGUUUCCAUGGAUUUUAGGAAUUUCAAACCUAUUAAUACCACUAUUAUGAUACUCAAAUGCAGGUAAAGAUCAUUGGGGUGGAACCCUCAGAUGCAAAUGCAAUGGCAUUGUCCCUUUAUCAUGGUGAGAGAGUGAUGUUGGAUCAGGUUGGCGGUUUUGCAGAUGGUGUGGCUGUUAAAGAGGUUGGUGAAGAAACUUUCCGUUUGUGCAAGGAAUUGAUAGAUGGUGUGGUUCUUGUAAGCCGUGAUGCUAUCUGUGCCUCAAUAAAGGACAUGUUUGAGGAGAAAAGGAGCAUUCUAGAGCCAGCAGGUGCUCUUGCCCUUGCUGGAGCUGAAGCAUACUGCAAAUAUUAUGGCCUUAAGGACAAAAAUGUUGUGGCAAUAACGAGUGGAGCAAAUAUGAACUUUGAUAAACUGAGGGUUGUGACUGAACUUGCCAAUGUUGGUAGGCAACAAGAGGCUGUUCUUGCAACUGUUAUGCCAGAGGAGCCUGGGAUGUUCAAACGCUUUUGUGAACUGGUGGGACCUACGAAUAUCACCGAGUUCAAAUACAGAUGUAAUUCUGAAAAGGAGGCUGUUGUUCUGUACAGUGUUGGGCUUCAUGCAGCUUUUGAAAUUGAAGCAUUGCAGCAGCGGAUGGAAUCUUCUCAACUAAGAACUUACAAUCUUACAUCAAGUGACUUGGUCAAAGAUCAUUUACGUUAUUUGAUGGGUGGCAGAUUGAAUAUUUGCAAUGAGGUUCUUUGUCAUUUUGUUUUCCCAGAAAGGCCUGGUGCUCUCAUGAAGUUCUUGGACGCUUUCAGUCCUCGUUGGAACAUUAGUUUGUUCGAUUACCGUGGGCAGGGUGAAACUGGUGCAAAUGUGUUGGUUGGAAUCCAGGUUCCUGAAAAUGAGAUGGAUGAGUUCCAUAACCGUGCCAACAAUGUUGGAUAUGCAUACGAUAUUGUAACUGAUGAUGACAACUUCCGGCUUCUGAUGCAUUAACCGGAGACACCCUGUGAUUUUUCAUCUGGAUUAUUCUACUAGCCAGCACUCGAACUUCUUGGAGCAAAGUGGAGAAGAAAAAUACAAUAUCGCCAACAUUUCUGUGUAAGCAAGCCAUUAUUGCUCUCUCUAAAGUGAAGAGGGAAGUUUUGUCUUAUGCUUUGUGGUUCUUUCGCUGUCAUUUUUGUAAUAUAUGAUGAGGGUAUCAAAAGCUUUAAAUGAUAAGUGGUGGUAUUGUAUUAAUUUCACAAAGGCUAAGCAACGCUUGAAUCCAAGGCAUAAUAAUGUUGUAUAUUUAUGAGGAAGCUUAGUGAUUUUUAUUUUAUUUUCUGGGAGGAUCGUAUGUGUGGUGCAGAAGUAUGCAUAUCAACCUAAAAUCUUCUAAAAGCACUAUCUUAUCCUACUCCAACAGGACAAUUUUAUUUCUAUUUUUUA
This 2699-nucleotide unclassified non-coding RNA is filed under the name Hevea brasiliensis (rubber tree). Lineage: Eukaryota; Viridiplantae; Streptophyta; Magnoliopsida; Malpighiales; Euphorbiaceae. The record is from RNAcentral.